RNAcentral lists this unclassified non-coding RNA (318 nucleotides) under Hevea brasiliensis (rubber tree). Lineage: Eukaryota; Viridiplantae; Streptophyta; Magnoliopsida; Malpighiales; Euphorbiaceae. The record is from RNAcentral.
GAGAAAACAACACAUUAAAAUUCGAAUAGUAUCUGACCAGACUUUCAGUUACUCGUCAUUCACCACAACACUGAUCUCAUUUUUCUCAAGCAGAUCAUAGAAUUCCUUAGUUCUCCUCUGGUUGUUCCAAUGGUGCUUCUUCCACAAACCUCCAGCAACCAUUCCAAGAGCAAUCCCUAUCAUAAUCUCCUUCACUACACUUGGACCCUUGUAUGCAGCAUGUGCAAUAUGGGAACCUGCCAUUUUCCCCUUCUUAGCAAGCAGAUCGGUGUAAGACGGUUACGCAAAGUAACAGGGAUACGAGAAAAAAGGUUUUUG